Long non-coding RNA from Venturia canescens, 1283 nucleotides. RefSeq lists it as uncharacterized. The record is from RefSeq and is a predicted model, not a curated record. The transcript has 2 exons. Lineage: Eukaryota; Metazoa; Arthropoda; Insecta; Hymenoptera; Ichneumonidae.
GUUUGAUAAACGCAGCAUAUAUUGAAACAGCAGCGCUCAAUCGCUCACUCCCCAACGAACUUAUCCCUGCGACAAAGAACACGUCCGAAGUAAACUCCACAGAAACACAUAAUACGCCUGUAUUUUAUGUGCGGUACGUAGAGUCGCGUGCUAGACGGAAUUUAUUCCGGUCGUUUGCCGCGAAUAAGCGAUUGAGAUUAAGAGAGGAAGAGCGAGGGGCGGAGAAAGAGAGAAAGAGAGCGCUAGAUCUGAUUAAUAGCUUAAUCGUUUCGCGCUUCUUUCCUGCUUCGAGCGAGGCAUCGGCCAGCAGCAUCAGCAAACGGGAGCGAUAUAGCCUUAUAGCAGCAGCACACACUCGGGCGUCACCGUCAUGCCAUCCGGCCCGUGGUGUAACGCGUAUUCAUAUAUUUAUAUAUACACGUCGAGACUAAACUCUCGCGAUCUUUCUCUCGCACCUCCCACGGGCGAUCUCGAUCAUCGAUAGGUCGCUGUCUCCCUUGCUCGCUCUGAUAUACUCUGUCGCCUCGCGAUCUCGUCACGGUAGGUAUAUCACGCGCAGCUGAUACGUGUUAGUUAAUGUGUGUUCAGAGCUCCAGCUCGUUGCCGUUUCCUAUCGAUCGUACGUCACCGAGAGGCCCGAUCAACGACGACGAUAUAGAGCGAGCAACAUCCUUAAAAGGGGGGGGAGCUGUGUUAUAGCGAAAGUAUAAAUGAAUAUACGGCACAUCUCGAGGCUCCGCGAGGCGUGAUAUUAUUGAUAAGUUCGAUGAGAUACGGCAGCUGGCAGUCCGGAAAUACAUUAUCGUGGAUAUAGAGAUACCCGCGGAGUGCUGAUCUAACGAGCUGACUGCGAGAGUGAAUUCGGCUUUUCCGUUUCGAAAGUCGACGAUCCGCAAUGACUUAUUUGAAGUAAGGAACUUUUGUGUAUUUCGGGUUAAUAUCGCUCGAGUUAUGCUCCGAAAUGAUCUAUUAAUGAUCGCGUCGAUCGAUUACUUUCGAGCUAGGCAAGAACGUAUGUUUGUCGACGUCAAAUGGGGAGCGUAACAUCACAUUUUCUCCAAGAGAUCAUAUUUCUUAGUGCGAAAUAAUCGAGCCGUGUCGGCUAAAUACAAUAAUGUGAUGGAUGAAUGUCCCGGGGAUGAUUGAGGAAGGCCAUUUCCAUUGAGUUCUUUCGCGUUCUCCUUCCCUUUUCUCUGUCUCGUAAGUACGGAUGAGCCGAAUUGUAAAAUUCUGGAGAUUGUGACGGACGAAGAGGAAAUGGCAUAUUGGCAGGCUCUAUUUUU